CUGAGUGACACGUGGGCACCCUGCCCUUUGCACUGGGAUAGCCUCGGGAAACCGAGGUUAAUACCGGAUACUCCAUAUUUGUCGCACGGCGAAUAUAGGAAAGCUCCGGCGGCAAAGGAUGGGCCCGCGGCCUGUUAGCUAGUUGGUGGGGUAGUGGCCUACCAAGGCAAUGAUGGGUAGCCGGGUUGAGAGACCGACCGGCCAGAUUGGGACUGAGACACGGCCCAGACUCCUACGGGAGGCAGCAGGC
This 250-nucleotide ribosomal RNA is filed under the name uncultured Atopobium sp. RNAcentral describes it as "partial 16S ribosomal RNA". It matches the Rfam family "Bacterial small subunit ribosomal RNA", at positions 106 to 354 of the family's 1533-position model. Lineage: Bacteria; Bacillati; Actinomycetota; Coriobacteriia; Coriobacteriales; Atopobiaceae. The record is from RNAcentral.